GUCAGUUAAACACUCUCAUGACUGUGCCUGUUUCCUGGGUCUCAUGUUAAAUGACAGCAUUUCGAAGUCCCCCCAUUCGUGUCAGUAGCAGAGUCACCUCUUCUCUUCUCAGAGUCACCAGGGAUUUGCUGUAACAGAAGAGCUUACCUGGCUGCUGUCCUCCGUUUGGGUUCCAUCCAGUGCUAGCCUAUUAAUUAUUAGUAUUUCACACCAAAUUUUACCACAACCUUGCCUUUCUCUGUAUUCAAUCACAUUUUUAUUUAGUCAACAUGUACUGAAUAUCUUCUUGUGCUAGGUGACAUGCUAGGCUUUGAGGACACAGAGAUUCACAUUCUUCAGGAAGGACAUUUAACAAAUAAGUGCAAUUUUUGAUUAGAAAAAUAUAAAUGCCCAGAUCUUUGAUAGAACAUCCAACAUGUAAAGUAUCUGUGUUCUGAAAACAAACACAAAUAAAUAAAAGAAAAUCCCCAACAACUCUGAUGAACUCCCAUUGAAUUUAGAAUAAGCCCAGACUCAGAACCAUGCAUGUAAGGCCCUACAAGAGCGGGCCCAGUCUUUCAGCUGACUUCAUCGCCCACUGCCUUUCUGUGCUAUGAUCCAGCCAUCUCAGCCUUCUUUCUCUUCCUUGAACAGGCCAAGGUCAUUCCCAGCUAAGUGUCUGCAGCUGAUGCUCCUCUUCUCAAUAGUCUUCUCCAUGGCUGGCUUCUCAGAGAGCAUCCCCGACACUCUCUUCCCAGUCACUCUGUGUGAUCAUUCGAAUUUCCAUUAUGUUAUAUAUUUGCCACCCAUGUGCCCCAAAAGAGGCUGUGCUAACAGCGAGCAGGGACCUUGCCAGUCAUGUUCAUUGCUAUCCCCAAAGCCCACACACUGUAAGCGGUCAAGAAAGGUUUAAUACAUGAAUGAAAGUAUAAAUGAGUGGCAGAAUAUAAAUGAUAGCAAGAACGACUGUGGGCCUGUCAAUGGAUCAGGACACUCAAUGAUGCAAAUCUCCAAGGUAUGCUAAGACAUCUUAGAUUUUCAUUUAUUCUUUCUCCCCCUUCAUAAGUUUUACCAGACGGUAAAAAGGACACAUGGAAAGAUCUUUAGUCCAAUCCAGAAGGGUCUCAUGGACAUGGUGGCACUAAAAGCUGGGGAGACCUGGAGUUGGUCAUCAUUUUGAAAGACAGUGUUUUUUAUAAUAGAAGGAAAGUGCUUGUCUGCUAAGUAAAUCUCCCCAAAAGGGAAGGUAAAUUGGGAAGGCCCCCAUUCUGGCCUUUUCUAAGUGGUCAGAGAUGACAGCAUCCGCCCUCUUGUCUGGUCAAGUGAAACUCAGUCUGAGGACUAACCGCAAAUAGCAGAACAGACUCCCAAUCGGCUGCUUCUCUUGUCAGUGUAGCAAUAGCCUUGGCAACUUUCUUUUUAUCUCAGCACUCUAAAGCUAUUUAUACACUGGCAUAGGAAAACAUAUUAUUUGCAGAAAUGCCUCCGGAUCCUAUGUCAUUUAUACAGGGACAGAAGAUGUUUUCAAAGGACCAUAUUUCUGUAGUAUUUUUUGCGACAAAGACUGUACAGCAAUGAUCUGCCAGGUUGUGUGGGUGUAAAAACAGCCUCCAUUAACUAAUCUUCAGUUCUACUUUGGCUGUUUAAAUAUCCAAGUUUUUCAGUCUGUCCAUAUUUAGAUUUUGGAAUUUAGUCAUGAUUAAUUUGCGGGCUUGAAGUAUAGGAUACAGCACCUAGGGGUUCCUUUCUCAAUCCUCUCCUCCUCUCUCUUGGGUUUUAUUGGAAUUGUGCCAGUAUAAGUGCACUUUGGAAAUCUUACUUUAGCUAAGCUGAAAAUGUGGCAAUUAUAGGCAUAAUGCAAAGUCUCUUCUAGGAGCAGAUGCCAAGACAGGAUUAGAUGUGCAUGAAAUUUAUCAAGGAAAAUGCCAAUGAGGGGGAAAAGGGAGGGAGCUGAAAGAGGUGAGGGGAACCGGGAAGGAUGAGAGCGAAGUGAUGCUGGAUAGACAGUCUCAGAUUGCCCCACAAUUUUAAGCAUAAUUCAGCGUUUGUGAAAAGUCUUUGAGCCAAAGUCGCCCAUCCGAGGAAUCCCCAUCUUGCAGGAACAGGCUUGCACAAGCAACCCUGUCACAUUGCCUCAUUCUCCAGGAACAGCCCACAGGGAGUGGGGACUCACGCACAUGCUGCGGGGAUCCCCAUCUGUCACCGUCCUCCUGCAGCAGGGGACCUGAGCGGUGCAUUUUCAUGACCGCCGCAGCUCCCGCCUAGUUUGCUUAAAGAGAGUAAAAGGCAGUAGCUUUUACAUUAUUUUCCUUGUAGCUCUGGGGUCCUAAGAGUUCCUUGGUAGCCUAGCGGUGAAGGAUUCAGUGUUAUCACUGCUCUGCCUCUGGUUCAGUCCCUGGCCUGGGAACUUCCACAUGCCUCAGGCAUGGCCAAAAAAAAAAGUCUCUGGGGUCCUAACGUGGGCCCUCAGUCCCUGUUGGGGGGACUAAGACAUCAGGAACCACUGCAGAGCCACUUAGGCCUUCUUCACCCAGAGAAGCCUUUUACUAUUGUAUAUAUUGGGGAUUCUACAUAAGACUUCCUUAGGAGGCAAAUGAUUCCACUGCUUUCUAAAUAUUUUCAAAACAAUUAAAGGAAUACUGGAGUUCCCUGGUGGCUCAGCAGGUUAAAGAUCCAGCAUUGUUGCUGCUUUGGCUCAGGUUGCUGCCAUGGCAAGGGUUUGAUCCCUGGCCUGGAAACUUCCUCAUGCCAAGGUCAUGGCCAAAAGAAAAAGGAAAACCAUUGGUAGGGAGGCUCCCCUUGAACCCAAACCCUUGGUUUUUGGAUCAUUGGAGGGAAAAAAGAUAUUUUCUACAUAGUGCUUACUUCCCCAGACCAUGGUUUUCUACAUACUGGGCUUUCUGAAGUUUUCCCCCACUUCCUCAAGCACAGAAAGAAGUUCCUACCACUGUGUUCCCAUGGUGCUUUGUACCUUGAUUAUGCCAUUUGUUACAUUUCAUAAUAAUUUGUUUAUAUAUCUGAGUCCUCCAGAUUGCAAAGUUUUUAUAUUUUAUUCUUUCCUUCUUUCUCUAAAGAGGGAAACAUUGGCAUUGUUCCAUAAUUAUACUGGUAAAUUCCCUUAUUUUACAACCAUGACUAAUGCCUCUAGCCGGUUAAGAGAAAACCAUCUACUUUUUAAGUAAUUUUGAAUUUCUACUGCAUAUUUUUAGAGAUAAUAAAACCCUGACCAAAACAAAAACAGAAAAUCUUGGUAUUCAAAAGGUGGCUCUAAGCUGAUCAUCAAUAUUAGAUCUUGUAUAUGACAACUUUGUGAGAACUGUGAAAGGCAAACACCGAAAGAAAAACCUACCUGUAAUUAUUUCUUCCAUUUAGACCACAAAUACUUAUUGAGAACCUCCUAUGGGCCAGGCCGUGUUGCAGGUGCUACCAUAGCUGAAGACAAUGAUGCAACUAAAACGGAGCGAUGUGAUGGGGUGAUAGGCCACUCUAGGUGGGUGAUCAGGAAAAGGGCUUCCUAUCAUGUGAAGCUUCAGAGGGAUAGCAUCGCUUGUAGAGGUAACAGCUAGGGCAAAGGGCCAAGAUGAAAACACACCAAAUCCAGGUUGGUGAGACUUUGGCGAGCCAGGCAAUUUGUCAUGGGGAGAAGUGAUCAGAUAGGCAGGCAGGAGUCAGGUAGGUAGGGCUUUAAGGAACAAUGUGGGUAUUUCAAAUUUUUUUCUUUCUUUCUUUCUUUUCUUUUUUUUUUUAAGGGCCACAGGUGCAGCAUAUGGAAGUUUCCAGACUCGGGCUGCAGCUGGGAUUGGACCCCUAGCCUGGGAACUUCCACAUGCCGUAGGUGUGGUCCUAAAAAGCAAAAAAAAAAAAAAAAUCAAAAGAUCACCAUGAAUGCUGUGUAUAAAAUGGAUUAUAGUGGAUUAAGACUAGAAAUAAGACUAGCAAGGGGUCAUUGGCAAAGUUGAGAAGAGCUAAUAGAAAUCUGGAUGAAGGGGCAGCAGAGGAGUGCAGUGCGCAAAUAUGCAAAUACUCUACGGGGACAUGCGUGUGCAAGCAUAUACACACACAAACAUACACAUCAUAACGAAAGCAAAAAAAUUAAUUCUGCAACCUCAGACCUCUAUAAUAUCAUUCCAAUUAUUCUUACAUGAGAAACAAUUAAGCAUAAGUUGUAAACCCACAUCUACUCCUGCUCUUUGCUCUCUGUUCUCUAGUUAUUAUAGCAAAUGAUUCAACUGAGCAGAGAGCAUGGGAAUUGCCA
This 4234-nucleotide long non-coding RNA is filed under the name Sus scrofa (pig). RNAcentral describes it as "lncRNA (ENSSSCG00030073002.1)". The record is from RNAcentral. Lineage: Eukaryota; Metazoa; Chordata; Mammalia; Artiodactyla; Suidae.